GUUAGACUCCAGUGUUAUAACGCUACAGAUACUUGGCUCAUCAAAAUUUUUGUAAAUGGGGUUUUGAAUCUACUAAAAAAAAAUCAUUUUCUUUUAUGAAUAAUUCUUUGCUGAAAAAUAAAUCCUACUAUCUCUCAACUAAACAACUCAGGUAUCAAAUGUUACCAACCUAAUAAAACCAAAAACAGGUUUUCAGAGCUAUUAGUAAUGCUUUAAUAAUCAUAAUUAAGUAACUGUAAAUAGUUAAUUAAACUUUAGUUAACUGUUACUUCAUUGCUAACAAAUAUUGAGAUGGCCAGAUGUAACGUUUUCUAAUCAUUGUGGAUAAUAUCCUUUGUGGUGCAGUGUUACAAGUUUCUGUAAUAUAAAAUGAUAAGUGUAUUGUAUAAUUUCAAUUCAUAGCUUACAGCCGAUAAGAACUGUACCAUGCUGUAUGCAUACUUCAUAUUGUAUCUACACUAUUAUUUUUUUCAUGAUUAAUGAUCCUAUCUACACUUCCAGAGUGGCAUAUAUCGCCAGUUUGUCAAAUAUGCUGGAGUCUCAGAAUUUCAUACAAACUGACCAAAACCUGCCACAAAAAGAAAGAAAGAAAGAAGGAAAGAAAGAAAGAAAGAAAGAAAGAAAGAAAGAAAGAAAGAAAGAAAGAAAGAAACCCUUAUCACUGUCUCCAGAUUUGAAUUUAAUCACCACCUGCCUACUGAACUUAAAGGUAUUAAAAACAUCAGAUGCAACCUUACAAUAACCAUGCAGAUAAUGUUCAUAAAUCCUUGUUUUAUUAUAAACCACUUAUUAGUAUCAAAUUAGUUCAUUCUUCAUUCUUUUACAGUAAUCAAAUGCUGCAACAGAGGUCUGUGAACCCUUGCCAGAAAUUCUGCUUUAAUUACUUAUUAAAUGUAGUCUAGUCUUCAUCUUGUUGACAGUUAUAGACAAAUACAGUCUAACACACACAAAGCAUGCUUGUACUUUCAUACUUCUGUUGAGCACACUCAGUAAUCAUUUGCAUUCCAGGCUGGAAAUAGUAAGCGAACUUGCGUGCUAAUGAAUUCUUCGGAUGUUACUGUACUUAGUCGGGUGUGAUCUUAAAGAAUGUUGGAUGUCAAAUUUUCACUAUAGAGAUCCCGUCCUACAGUUUGAGGAAUUUAAGGAUUGUUACUUUUCUUCCUACAAGUGGUUGCCCUUU
Long non-coding RNA from Astatotilapia calliptera (eastern happy), 1180 nucleotides. NCBI's taxonomy places the organism in Eukaryota, Metazoa, Chordata, Actinopteri, Cichliformes, Cichlidae. The record is from Ensembl.